GUGGGGAAUAUUGGGCAAUGGGCGAAAGCCUGACCCAGCAACGCCGCGUGAAGGAAGAAGGCUUUCGGGUUGUAAACUUCUUUUGUCAGGGACGAAAAAAAUGACGGUACCUGACGAAUAAGCCACGGCUAACUACGUGCCAGCAGCCGCGGUAAUACGUAGGUGGCAAGCGUUAUCCGGAUUUACUGGGUGUAAAGGGCGUGUAGGCGGGAAAGUAAGUCAGAUGUGAAAACUAUGGGCUCAACCCAUAGCCUGCAUUUGAAACUGUUUUUCUUGAGUACUGGAGAGGCAGAUGGAAUUCCUAGUGUAGCGGUGAAAUGCGUAGAUAUAUGGAGGAACACCAGUGGCGAAAGCGGCUCUCUGGUCUGUAACUGACGCUGAGGUUCGAAAGCGUGGGUAGCAAACAGGAUUAGAAACCCGGGUAGUCC
This 428-nucleotide ribosomal RNA is filed under the name uncultured bacterium. RNAcentral's name for it is "partial 16S ribosomal RNA". It matches the Rfam family "Bacterial small subunit ribosomal RNA", at positions 354 to 796 of the family's 1533-position model. The record is from RNAcentral.